CCUACGGGUGGCAGCAGUGAGGAAUAUUGGUCAAUGGGCGUAAGCCUGAACCAGCCAAGUCGCGUGAAGGAUGAAGGUUCUAUGGAUCGUAACCCUCUUUUAUAGGGGAAUACAGUGCGGGACGUGUGCCGUUUUAUAUGUACCUUAUGAAUAGGGAUCGGCUACCUCCGUGCCAGCAGCCGCGGUAAUACGGAGGAUCCGAGCGUUAUCCGGAUUUAUUGGGUUUAAGGGGUGCGUAGCCGGCCGUUUAAGUCAGCGGUGAAAGUCUGUGGCUCAACCAUAGAAUUGCCGUUGAAACUGGGGGGCUUGAGUAUGGUUGAGGCAGGCGGAAUGCGUGGUGUAGCGGUGAAAUGCUUAGAUAUUACGCAGAACCCCGAUUGCGAAGGCAGCCUGCUAAGCCAUGACUGACGCUGAUGCACGAAAGCGUGGGGAUCAAACAGGAUUAGAUACCCGAGUAGUC
This 460-nucleotide ribosomal RNA is filed under the name uncultured bacterium. RNAcentral's name for it is "partial 16S ribosomal RNA". It matches the Rfam family "Bacterial small subunit ribosomal RNA", at positions 338 to 795 of the family's 1533-position model. The record is from RNAcentral.